RNAcentral lists this long non-coding RNA (303 nucleotides) under Sus scrofa (pig). RNAcentral's name for it is "lncRNA (ENSSSCG00045011809.1)". The record is from RNAcentral. Lineage: Eukaryota; Metazoa; Chordata; Mammalia; Artiodactyla; Suidae.
AUGCAGUGUCCCCCUGUGGUGGUUUUUGGGGCAUGGGCUGUACCCAUGGCUGGGUUUUUCUCUCCAGAUAUCUGCACAACCUUCAUCUUCCCUCUGCACCUGGCCGAGUUGCUUCAGCCUCUACAAGACACAUAUUUGAAGGAAGUUCUCUCAAUCCUGGUAAGGAAAGUGAGUGAAAGGACAUCUACAUCCUCCUCCUUCCCACUCCACCUGAGCCACCUACGCCUCUUCAGGGGGCCCCAAGGGACCUACCUUAAUCCAGAUCAAGUACCUGGUUUGAGUCUUGGGUGCGCAGUUUUCUAG